UACAGAGGGUGCGAGCGUUAAUCGGCAUUACUGGGCGUAAAGCGUGCGUAGACGGCUAUCUAAGUCGGGUGUGAAAGCCCCGGGCUCAACCUGGGAAUUGCAUUCGAGACUGAAUAGCUAGGGUACGGUAGAGGGAAGUGGAAUUUCCGGUGUAGCGGUGAAAUGCGUAGAUAUCGGGAAGAACAUCGGUGGCGAAGGCGGCCUGCUGGGCUGUUGCUGACGCUGAGGCGCGACAGCGUGGGGAGCAAACAGG
Molecule: ribosomal RNA, 253 nt
Filed under: uncultured bacterium
Lineage: Bacteria
Description: partial 16S ribosomal RNA
Rfam family: Bacterial small subunit ribosomal RNA
Source: RNAcentral